CACGUAGGGGCCAAGCGUUGUCCGGAUUUAUUGGGCGUAAAGAGCUCGUAGGCGGUUCGACAAGUCGGGUGUGAAAACUCCGGGCUCAACCCGGAGACGCCACCCGAUACUGUCGUGACUGGAGUCCGGUAGGGGAGUGGGGAAUUCCUGGUGUAGCGGUGAAAUGCGCAGAUAUCAGGAGGAACACCGGUGGCGAAGGCGGGUCUCUGGGCCGUAACUGACGCUGAGGAGCGAAAGCAUGGGGAGCGAACAGG
Molecule: ribosomal RNA, 254 nt
Filed under: uncultured bacterium
Lineage: Bacteria
Description: partial 16S ribosomal RNA
Rfam family: Bacterial small subunit ribosomal RNA
Source: RNAcentral